RNAcentral lists this long non-coding RNA (692 nucleotides) under Olea europaea (common olive). RNAcentral's name for it is "long non-coding RNA (OEUR_LNC005737)". Lineage: Eukaryota; Viridiplantae; Streptophyta; Magnoliopsida; Lamiales; Oleaceae. The record is from RNAcentral.
AAACUCCGUCCUCUGACCGCCUUGGACACCGGAGCAAUAUACAACCUUAAAGCCCUCAAUUACCCUACUAAGAUCAAUUAUUAAAAGUUAAUUUUGGGUCCCAAAAUUCAAUAGAAUGGUUAUUUCCCAUAAUAAAUAAACCAAAAAACUUGUUGCUUACGUGUUUCUGUGGUUCCAUUACAUACAUCGCCUUCAUCGAUGCCAGAAAAAUACCAUCGCCUAUGCCCGUCAACUAUCAGAAGGCAGCUCAAAACCAUUGGUCAGUCAUACACAAAAUUUAUGCAUAAAGACCCAUUUAUAUACUGGCCCAUCUCUCUAUCUUUCUCUAUCCAAAAGUAGAGAAAAGUUAUUUUUUGUAGAUAAUUAUCAGUAGAAAGUGGGAAUUAGGAAUUGAAGUGCAAGGGGAGUUCUUGAAUUGUCAGGAAGAAUGUGAAAUGUUGAAAGUGAAUCUGGGUUGGAAUUAAAUUUUUUUUUCUAUACGGAUCUAGAAAUUUGAAUUUCCAAAUCUUGGGUUUUGUUUUAAAUCUUUGUUUUUUUCGUGUGGGUUCAUUUGUUCUUAAUGCUACUGCUUUUCCUCUGCCAGUCAGUGUUGCACCCACUCCAAGGUGGCAGGAGGGUGGAGGAGGAUGCGGAGGAAGAGAGAAAAAAAGAUAAUUUUUAUUUUUAUUUUUAAUAUUUUAAUAAUUUAUUGG